AGGAUGAACGCUGGCGGCGUGCCUAACACAUGCAAGUCGAGCGAUCUUCUUCGGAAGAGAGCGGCGGACGGGUGAGUAACGCGUGGGUAACCUGCCUCAUACACAUGGAUAACAUACCGAAAGGUAUGCUAAUACAAGAUGAUAUAAGAGAUUCGCAUGGAUUUCUUAUCAAAGCUUUUGCGGUAUGAGAUGGACCCGCGUCUGAUUAGCUAGUUGGUAAGGUAAUGGCUUACCAAGGCGACGAUCAGUAGCCGACCUGAGAGGGUGAUCGGCCACAUUGGAACUGAGACACGGUCCAAACUCCUACGGGAGGCAGCAGUGGGGAAUAUUGCACAAUGGGCGAAAGCCUGAUGCAGCAACGCCGCGUGAGCGAUGAAGGCCUUCGGGUCGUAAAGCUCUGUCCUCAAGGAAGAUAAUGACGGUACUUGAGGAGGAAGCCCCGGCUAACUACGUG
RNAcentral lists this ribosomal RNA (454 nucleotides) under uncultured bacterium. RNAcentral's name for it is "bacterial SSU rRNA". It matches the Rfam family "Bacterial small subunit ribosomal RNA", at positions 26 to 507 of the family's 1533-position model. The record is from RNAcentral.